UUAGUCUUAUAAUUUAAGACUGGAAUGAAAGAAUUCACCAAAGAGCUUCUCUCUUUUUUAUAUAUAUUGAACUUUACUUUUUAGUUAAAAGGCUAAAAUAAUUCUUUUAGACAAGAAGACCCUAUAAAGCUUUACAUAUUAAAAUUUAAGAGAUUCUCAUUAUGUUUAACUGGGGCGGUAAAGAGACAAACACUUUUAAAUUAUUAAAUAUUUUAAUAUUAAUAUCCAAAAUUUUUGAAAAUUAAAUAAGUUACUUUAGGGAUAACAGCGUUAUAUAUUUAAAGAGUUCUAAUCGAAAAAUAUGUUUGCGACCUCGAUGUUGAAUUAAAUUUUCUUUAUUAUGCAAAAGUAAUAUAAGAAGG
Molecule: ribosomal RNA, 362 nt
Filed under: Zabius sp. 3 AAOA-2016
Lineage: Eukaryota; Metazoa; Arthropoda; Arachnida; Scorpiones; Buthidae
Description: partial 16S ribosomal RNA
Source: RNAcentral